RNAcentral lists this long non-coding RNA (640 nucleotides) under Sinocyclocheilus grahami. RNAcentral's name for it is "lncRNA (ENSSGRG00000047397.1)". Lineage: Eukaryota; Metazoa; Chordata; Actinopteri; Cypriniformes; Cyprinidae. The record is from RNAcentral.
CGAAGAAGAAACUGCCUGGGCUUCAGUUUAGUGAACUACAAUACGUAAACGAUAUGUAAACAGUUAUCAUUUAAUAAGGAAAUAAUCCCUAUUUGAGGAAAGAGACAGUUGUAAAACGCUUGCUUAACAUCAUGGGCAAGCGCAAGAGAAACCUGGACAUCCCAGACGAUGUGAAAGACUUUGGCAUCUGCCAGAACGUCCACACCUGCCACAAAGUCCUGGGGAAAAUGUGGCGACAGUUUCCUGGACACUCCCGUCAUCCAGGUGCCUUAAACUAGAUGGACGUAAUGCUGUCUGUCUGUUACACAGAUGCUCUGAGCGUCAUCUGUUUGUGUUUCAGAAGCUGCAAACAUCAGAGAAGAAGAGCAGAAGCACGCGUAAAGUGGCUCUGAGGUCUGUUACUGCGAAUAGAGAUGCUGGCACAGAUGAUCCGGUUCACAUUGCCUGGAGCUCCAGUGAAGAGGAAGAAUCAGACAGUGAUAGUCAUCCUCCUCCUCGACUGAAUGUCACACAGGCACCACAGCCGCCCAGAGCACACAAACAACAUCUUGUUGACUAUUACAGAUGUCUGCGGUUGUUCAGCACUGGUGUAGGUGAGAACAGAGACAUUUAUUGGUAGUUAUGUGGAUGAAUCGUUCAG